Molecule: small nucleolar RNA, 220 nt
Organism: Erigeron canadensis
Lineage: Eukaryota; Viridiplantae; Streptophyta; Magnoliopsida; Asterales; Asteraceae
Product: small nucleolar RNA U3
Exons: 1
Source: RefSeq, a predicted model, not a curated record
UCUAUCUUACUUGAUCAUGAUCUGUUCUAUAGGCUCCUACCUCUGUAUCUUUGAUUCUUGUCAAGCCGGAAACCCAUGUCUGGUUGAUGAACCAUGACUAUAUAGCUAGAGCGUGAUUAACCGAGCCUCAUGGUCUUGACCAUGGCUGAUGGCUCUGUAGAGAAUCGUUGCCAACCCAUCUUAUGGGUUCUGGUAUGGCUACAUGAUUGUCUAACAAACA